Molecule: ribosomal RNA, 1092 nt
Filed under: Salmonella enterica subsp. enterica serovar Enteritidis
Lineage: Bacteria; Pseudomonadati; Pseudomonadota; Gammaproteobacteria; Enterobacterales; Enterobacteriaceae
Description: partial 23S ribosomal RNA
Rfam family: Bacterial large subunit ribosomal RNA
Source: RNAcentral
AAUCCAUAGGUUAAUGAGGCGAACCGGGGGAACUGAAACAUCUAAGUACCCCGAGGAAAAGAAAUCAACCGAGAUUCCCCCAGUAGCGGCGAGCGAACGGGGAGGAGCCCAGAGCCUGAAUCAGCAUGUGUGUUAGUGGAAGCGUCUGGAAAGGCGCGCGAUACAGGGUGACAGCCCCGUACACAAAAGCGCAUGUGCUGUGAGCUCGAUGAGUAGGGCGGGACACGUGGUAUCCUGUCUGAAUAUGGGGGGACCAUCCUCCAAGGCUAAAUACUCCUGACUGACCGAUAGUGAACCAGUACCGUGAGGGAAAGGCGAAAAGAACCCCGGCGAGGGGAGUGAAAAAGAACCUGAAACCGUGUACGUACAAGCAGUGGGAGCACCCUUUGGGUGUGACUGCGUACCUUUUGUAUAAUGGGUCAGCGACUUAUAUUCUGUAGCAAGGUUAACCGAAUAGGGGAGCCGGAGGGAAACCGAGUCUUAAUUGGGCGUUAAGUUGCAGGGUAUAGACCCGAAACCCGGUGAUCUAGCCAUGGGCAGGUUGAAGGUUGGGUAACACUAACUGGAGGACCGAACCGACUAAUGUUGAAAAAUUAGCGGAUGACCUGUGGCUGGGGGUGAAAGGCCAAUCAAACCGGGAGAUAGCUGGUUCUCCCCGAAAGCUAUUUAGGUAGCGCCUCGUGAAUUCAUCUCCGGGGGUAGAGCACUGUUUCGGCUAGGGGGCCAUCCCGGCUUACCAACCCGAUGCAAACUGCGAAUACCGGAGAAUGUUAUCACGGGAGACACACGGCGGGUGCUAACGUCCGUCGUGAAGAGGGAAACAACCCAGACCGCCAGCUAAGGUCCCAAAGUCAUGGUUAAGUGGGAAACGAUGUGGGAAGGCCCAGACAGCCAGGAUGUUGGCUUAGAAGCAGCCAUCAUUUAAAGAAAGCGUAAUAGCUCACUGGUCGAGUCGGCCUGCGCGGAAGAUGUAACGGGGCUAAACCAUGCACCGAAGCUGCGGCAGCGACACUGUGUGUUGUUGGGUAGGGGAGCGUUCUGUAAGCCUGUGAAGGUGUGUCGUGAGGCAUGCUGGAGGUAUCAGAAGUGCGA